AUGGCUCAGUGGUUAGAGCACUGGUGCUCUUCCAGAGGACCCAGGUUCAGUUCCUGGU
This 58-nucleotide transfer RNA is filed under the name Mus musculus (house mouse). It matches the Rfam family "tRNA", at positions 7 to 64 of the family's 71-position model. From Rfam's summary of the family: Transfer RNA (tRNA) molecules are approximately 80 nucleotides in length. Lineage: Eukaryota; Metazoa; Chordata; Mammalia; Rodentia; Muridae. The record is from Rfam by way of RNAcentral.